This 599-nucleotide ribosomal RNA is filed under the name Coris aurilineata (goldlined coris). RNAcentral's name for it is "partial 16S ribosomal RNA". It matches the Rfam family "Bacterial large subunit ribosomal RNA", at positions 1803 to 2610 of the family's 2925-position model. The record is from RNAcentral. Lineage: Eukaryota; Metazoa; Chordata; Actinopteri; Labriformes; Labridae.
UUUAUCAAAAACAUCGCCUCUUGCAAAAUCGACGAAUAAGAGGUCCCGCCUGCCCAGUGACUAUAUGUUUAACGGCCGCGGUAUUUUGACCGUGCAAAGGUAGCGCAAUCACUUGUCUUUUAAAUGGAGACCUGUAUGAAUGGCACCACGAGGGCUUAACUGUCUCCUUUCUUAGGCCAAUGAAAUUGAUCUCUCCGUGCAGAAGCGGGGAUAAACUCAUAAGACGAGAAGACCCUAUGGAGCUUUAGACACCAAGGCAGCCUACGUCAAGUACCCUCUAACAAGAGAACAAACUAAGUAAGCCCUGCCCUAAUGUCUUCGGUUGGGGCGACCCUGGGGAAAUAAAUAACCCCCAUGAGGACUGAAAGCAUGCUUUCAGAACCAAGAGCUACCGCUCUAAGGACCAGAACUUCUGACCAUCAGAUCCGGCAAAGCCGAUCAACGGACCGAGUUACCCUAGGGAUAACAGCGCAAUCCCCUUUUAGAGUCCAUAUCGACAAGGGGGUUUACGACCUCGAUGUUGGAUCAGGACAUCCUAAUGGUGCAGCCGCUAUUAAGGGUUCGUUUGUUCAACGAUUAAAGUCCUACGUGAUCUGAGU